GAUGAACGCUGGCGGCGUGCCUAACACAUGCAAGUCGAACGGAGUCCAGCCUUUAAGACCUUCGGGUCAAAGAGGGGAAGACUGAGUGGCGGACGGGUGAGUAACACGUGGGCAACCUGGCUCAUAGAGGGGGAUAACAGAGAGAAAUUUCUGCUAAUACCGCAUAAGCACACACUGCCGCAUGGCAGAGGGUGAAAAGAGAAUCGCUAUGAGAUGGACCCGCGUCUGAUUAGCCAGUUGGCAGGGUAAGAGCCUACCGAAGCGACGAUCAGUAGCCGAUCUGAGAGGAUGAACGGCCACAUUGGGACUGAGACACGGCCCAAACUCCUACGGGAGGCAGCAGUGGGGGAUAUUGCACAAUGGGGGGAACCCUGAUGCAGCGACGCCGCGUGAGUGAAGAAGUAUUUCGGUAUGUAAAGCUCUAUCAGCAGGGAAGAUAAUGACAGUACCUGAAUAAGAAGCCCCGGCUAACUACGUG
Molecule: ribosomal RNA, 478 nt
Filed under: uncultured bacterium
Lineage: Bacteria
Description: partial 16S ribosomal RNA
Rfam family: Bacterial small subunit ribosomal RNA
Source: RNAcentral